GCCACGCCUCAGAGGGCGACCCUCCGGGUCAUAAGUAGUGGGCUGCUGACCCGGCCAGCCCAGAGGAGGACGUGCGGUACCGUCCGAAGCGCCGGCCACCGGCUGGCGUGGGUGCCGGUCCCGCUCCCUCACGCGUCCCGCCCGCGCCCCUCCGAGACCCCGAGCCGCCUCUGUGUCAUGCACCACCUCGUUGGCCCCGGUCCGUCCCCGCGCUCCUGCCUCCUGCGCCCUCCGGGACCGGGACCGCAGAGUUCCAAGAAGCGAGUGGUGUUCGCGGACUCCAGGGGACUCUCGCUGACGUCCGUGCACAAGUUCGAGGACCCCGCGGCGCCCCGGGGACGCGCGCCGGGUCGCGGCUGGGGCGCCUCGUCCGCCUGCCUGCGGCUCCUGCCCAGGGCCGCCCUGUGCGUGCGCGCCCGCUCCUCGUCGCCCUCAGGGUGACCGCGUGGCCCCGGAUCUGCUGCUCUACUGGGUGCUCAGCCGCUUUCCCGUGACAGUCACUAAGGUCGAAACCACCGCUGGACGUCGGGCUCUCAGCGCUGCUCAUCAAGGCGCUCAUCAACUCUCCGAAGCCUGAGGUUGUUGCCCGGGACGCGCGUGUUCCCCCUCCCAGCACCGUCCGAACCGCCUGCCCCUGCACUGCGUGUGGGACACAGGAUGGACCCGAGACCCCGCCUGCGGGAGAACCGCACUGCCCUUCACUCUGCGGGGCAAGACACGCUGGAGCAGAUCAGGGAAACAGAAACCAUGAGGCGAACUGGACUGGGGAAGACUGGGGAGCGGCUCCAGCUGAGUCUGUGCCUGUUGAGCUGGGAGAGACGAGACAGAGGAACACACAGGCGGAUGGGGUGGUGUCGCUGAUAUUUCUUGGCCGGGCCGGGCCUUGAGCUAAGUUCUUCACACCCCGAUUCUCGCUGUCCACCACAGCAACCUCCAGAGGACGCCGCAGCCUCCGCCCUCCCGUCACUCCCCACUCCUGACCUCAACCCCCU
This 992-nucleotide long non-coding RNA is filed under the name Heterocephalus glaber (naked mole-rat). Its description in RNAcentral is "lncRNA (ENSHGLG00100040484.1)". Lineage: Eukaryota; Metazoa; Chordata; Mammalia; Rodentia; Bathyergidae. The record is from RNAcentral.